AGGCAGCCUGACUAGAGAACAAACUACCAAUUAACGAGCGAGGAAACAGGGCCAGAGAAUUGGAACAAAAUACAAGGCUGCCUCUGAAAGGAAUAUCUUUGUGCUGAUGUGUCCAUCAAGAGAACAUACACAGAAGUGACACUUGCCAGUAAUUUGCAAGCAGAUGGAACUUCAAUAUGGCAAUAGAGAAAGAAUCAAUUAGACCAGAGUCUCCUCAGGAAGACUUUCUAUAGAUAUCUGGUGAGCAUCUGCUAGAUGCCAGGGUUGGGGAGAGUCAAGUUGAAGCAAGCAUGAACCCUCAAGGACCUACCAUUUCAAGGCAAGAAAUAGAUACAAAUACAGCGUAAUUAUCUCUCCAAUUAAAGAGCAACCAAGGGACAACUGAACUGGAGGUUCUGCAGAAUUACAACUAAGCACGCAGCCGAGGAAUCUACUCAGCUUUGAUCUCUUAUCGCUCUGCACACACAGCCCUUUCUCUGUAAGGCUAGCUGCUCUCAGCAUCACUGUGUCUAAUCAAACGUGUCACACCUCCACUGAGAAAAUAUUUACUGGAUAGCUACUAGACAUAAGGAUGCAGAAAUGAAUUAGAAAAAUUCCUCGCCCUUGUUCAAAGCUAUGCUGGCUCUUAGAACAUCUGAGCCCCCACUGUUUCAUCUUUAGAGGAUCCCAGCUGCUGGGGUGUGAGGCCAGUGCUGGAGCCAGCAGUCUCUGACCCAGAAGGGACCUGAGGUGCUAAAGAAAAUUCUGGAGGCUGAGAAGUCCAAAACCAAGUCACCAGCAGAUUCAGCGUCUGGGGUACAAGCUGGAAAAGGGGAAAAUGAAUCAUGCUACAGGCCAAGUGUCCAUCACUGAUUCCCAGAGAUGCCCUUUGUGUGGUAGGCACUUCCAUGUGGACUCGCUACAGAGGUCAUAAGACCCUAAUUCCAGAGGGCCCUACCCUAUAACCAGAAGGAAGAACUAUUGCACAGAGAAUCUAAGAAGAAUCUAGACAGACAGCCCUUGCUGGAUUUCUCCACUCUGUUAGCAUUCGAUCAUUUGCCUUUUGUCCAGUCAUAUUUCUGCAUGGCUGUCCAUACUUUGUUGAACCUAAGCACAAAAUGGAAAGUUUUCCCUGUAUCUUUGGGUCGUCAUUCUGAAGGCUCCCAUGUUAUGUAAAACUAUGAUCAAAUAAAUAUGCAUGCCUUUUCUCCUAUAA
Molecule: long non-coding RNA, 1195 nt
Filed under: Homo sapiens (human)
Lineage: Eukaryota; Metazoa; Chordata; Mammalia; Primates; Hominidae
Description: long intergenic non-protein coding RNA 1643
Source: RNAcentral